Callithrix jacchus (white-tufted-ear marmoset) is the source of this 107-nucleotide small nuclear RNA. Lineage: Eukaryota; Metazoa; Chordata; Mammalia; Primates; Cebidae. The record is from Ensembl.
GUGCUCGCUUCGGCAGCACGUAUACUAAAAUUGGAACGAUACAGAGAAGAUUAGCAUGGCCUCUGCGCAAGGAUGACAUGCAAAUUCGUGAAGCGUUCCAUAAAAAA